This 210-nucleotide long non-coding RNA is filed under the name Brachypodium distachyon (stiff brome). RNAcentral describes it as "long non-coding RNA (BDIS_LNC000477)". Lineage: Eukaryota; Viridiplantae; Streptophyta; Magnoliopsida; Poales; Poaceae. The record is from RNAcentral.
UGUUUUUUUUUUAUCUGUAACUGUUUUGGUUCCCUCUUCUUAAUGCAAAGGCAAAACACCUGUCAAUUUAGUUUCAAAAGAAAAGAAAAAUACUACCUUGUUUAGGGGUUGUAAGGAUACAUCGUCGGAUUCUGCAGCGCCCCUUGUGGGAUUUAGGCCACUCCAGGUGUUUUCGUUUUUUUUAUUAGUUGUAAGCUUGUCAUGUCAUUU